This 402-nucleotide unclassified non-coding RNA is filed under the name Hevea brasiliensis (rubber tree). Lineage: Eukaryota; Viridiplantae; Streptophyta; Magnoliopsida; Malpighiales; Euphorbiaceae. The record is from RNAcentral.
GUCAGAAGUACAUCUACACUGGGUCUCACAAUUCUUGUGUUUAUAUCUAUGAUUUGUUGACUGGAGCUCUAGUUGCCAACCUCAAGCAUCAUAAAUCACCAGUAAGAGACUGUAGCUGGCACCCUCAAUAUCCAAUGCUUGUAAGCUCUUCAUGGGAUGGGGAUGUUGUCAAAUGGGAAUUUCCGGGCAGUGGUGAAGCACCGACUCCUCCGAACAAGAAGAGGGUCCGCAGGCGACAUUUCUAUUGAAGACUGCUGAAGAAAAUUGUAAGCCAAGCUCUUCCCUGUCCUUUAUAGCUUGGCAAAUGCAGUAUAGCACUGUGAUGCAUGCAUCCUAUCUUACUGUCAAAAAUAAGAUGCAAUUAGUAUAUGCCUUUUAUAUCUCACGGUUGCAAUAUUUUGU